Molecule: ribosomal RNA, 647 nt
Filed under: Typhlodromus pyri
Lineage: Eukaryota; Metazoa; Arthropoda; Arachnida; Mesostigmata; Phytoseiidae
Description: eukaryotic LSU rRNA
Rfam family: Eukaryotic large subunit ribosomal RNA
Source: RNAcentral
AUAUAUGAGGGGACUAAUAGCGAACAAGUACCAUGAGGGAAAGUUGAAAAGAACUCUGACGAGAGAGUUCAACAGUGCGUGAAACCAUAUUGAGUAAAACAGAUAACUGUGUCGUUAUGCGGCGUGUCUAUCAACAGUAUAUCAAGUGUUGCGAUUCGGCGAGUGUGAGCUGUUUAUUCAGACGAUCGCUAGCUGUCAGCAUAGCUUGGGGUUCUGUGUACUAGUGCACGUCCAAUCAUUGAGAAACUAUGCUACUGCGGCAUCGGUGGUCAUCAGUCCGCGCCUAGCGCGAAGUUGACUACUGGGCUCUGCUGGCGGCGUAGUUUAGCUGUGUGACAGCUGUGGGACGCGUUUGUUGAAUGUGCCUGCUUUGUCUACGGAUCGGUUUAUUCCUUUCUGUGGUGAGUAUGGUACAGUAGGCGAGCGUUUCGACAUCAAUGGUUGACAUUAGUUAUUUGACCCGUCUUGAAACACGGACCAAGGAGUUCAAAUGGCACGCGAGUCAUUGGGUUUAAUCACCCGAAGGCGAAGUGAAAUGCAAACGUAUCGUUACUCGUAGUUUCGGCUGCGAAUCAGCGAUAAGCUACUCAUGCUUUCUGGCAUUUGUAGACUAAAAGCGUGAUGUUUGAGACCCGAAAGAUGGGUGA